UACGAAGGGGGCUAGCGUUGCUCGGAAUUACUGGGCGUAAAGCGCACGUAGGCGGUCUUUUAAGUCGGGGGUGAAAUCCUGGAGCUCAACUCCAGAACUGCCUUCGAUACUGGGAGACUCGAGUCCGGGAGAGGUGAGUGGAACUGCGAGUGUAGAGGUGAAAUUCGUAGAUAUUCGCAAGAACACCAGUGGCGAAGGCGGCUCACUGGCCCGGUACUGACGCUGAGGUGCGAAAGCGUGGGGAGCAAACAGG
RNAcentral lists this ribosomal RNA (253 nucleotides) under uncultured bacterium. Its description in RNAcentral is "partial 16S ribosomal RNA". It matches the Rfam family "Bacterial small subunit ribosomal RNA", at positions 524 to 776 of the family's 1533-position model. The record is from RNAcentral.